RNAcentral lists this ribosomal RNA (503 nucleotides) under uncultured bacterium. RNAcentral describes it as "partial 16S ribosomal RNA". It matches the Rfam family "Bacterial small subunit ribosomal RNA", at positions 30 to 523 of the family's 1533-position model. The record is from RNAcentral.
AUUGAACGCUGGCGGCAGGCUUAACACAUGCAAGUCGAGCGGGGUGAUGGUGCUUGCACUAUCACUUAGCGGCGGACGGGUGAGUAAUGCUUAGGAAUCUGCCUAUUAGUGGGGGACAACAUCUCGAAAGGGAUGCUAAUACCGCAUACGUCCUACGGGAGAAAGCAGGGGAUCACUUGUGACCUUGCGCUAAUAGAUGAGCCUAAGUCGGAUUAGCUAGUUGGUGGGGUAAAGGCCUACCAAGGCGACGAUCUGUAGCGGGUCUGAGAGGAUGAUCCGCCACACUGGGACUGAGACACGGCCCAGACUCCUACGGGAGGCAGCAGAGGGGAAUAUUGGACAAUGGGGGGAACCCUGAUCCAGCCACGCCGCGUGUGUGAAGAAGGCCUUAUGGUUGUAAAGCACUUUAAGCGAGGAGGAGGCUCUUUUGGUUAAUACCCAAGAUGAGUGGACGUUACUCGCAGAAUAAGCACCGGCUAACUCUGUGCCAGCAGCCGCCGUAA